AGCAGCCGCGGUAAUUCCAGCUCCAAUAGUGUAUAUUAAAGUUGCUGCAGUUAAAAAGCUCGUAGUUGAAUUUCGGAACCAAUAUGUUGGUUGUGCCUCGGUACGUACUGGCAUUGUUGGUUUCUCCCUUCUGACGAACUAUGAUGUCAUUAAUUUGGUGUCAUGGGGAAUCAGGACUGUUACUUUGAAAAAUUAGAGUGUUUAAACAGGCUCACGCUUGAAUACAUUAGCAUGGAAUAAUGAAAUAGGACGUUUGAUUCUAUUUUGUUGGUUUCUAGGAUUGACGUAAUGGUUAAUAGGGAUAGUUGGGGGCAUUAGUAUUCAAUUGUCAGAGGUGAAAUUCUUGGAUUUAUUGAAGACUAACUACUGCGAAAGCAUUUGCCAAGGAUGUUUUCAUUAAUCAAGAACGAAAGUUAGGGGAUCGAAGACGACCAGAUACCGUCGUAGUCUUAACCAUAAACUAUGCCGACUAGGGAUCGGAUGAUGUUAAUUUUUUAAUGACUCA
RNAcentral lists this ribosomal RNA (505 nucleotides) under uncultured Glomeraceae. RNAcentral's name for it is "SSU rRNA". It matches the Rfam family "Eukaryotic small subunit ribosomal RNA", at positions 569 to 1078 of the family's 1831-position model. The record is from RNAcentral. Lineage: Eukaryota; Fungi; Glomeromycota; Glomeromycetes; Glomerales; Glomeraceae.